UUAGCUUCUGUGAAUUCACUUUCCUUUCUCGGAAGAGAGAGAAAAAAUGGGGGAAAAUCCACGCUAGGGAUACCCUCCAGAAACCCUAACCCUAGCUCUCCAUCUAGGGCUUGAAAUCUUUAUUAGCGGUGCUGAAAUCUCUCCUUCAAGAGGAUUUUCGUAUUCGAUUGGGUGCCUGGAUUUACGAGAAAUCCUUCCUCAUCCCAGAUCGUUUCAAAGCUCUCUGAUCGUUCGAUACAUCGGAUUUCGUCCCGGAGAAAUUCGAUCUGCAAGCUCGGUCGUAUCGGUUCGCUAAGCAAUCUGCCGAUGCUCGACGUCAUAUAGGAUUUGAUUUCUCAUCUAGUGGCCUUGUCGUCAUCGAGUUAUGGUAUUCGGAUCCUAAAAGGCUGUGAUUUUCUCAUUGGAGGCUUCAUCUUCGUCAGAUCGUGGCAGAUUCCUCCUUUUUGAAGGUUUUUGAUUGAAUCAGUUUGAGAAGCAGACAUUCAAAGCACUAAUCUUGUUUGAUCUCUUAUCAAUUUGGAGCGAUUGUGUACUGGAUGUUCGACGAAAUGGGAUUUGAGGCUUUUGAAUUGUGAUGCGUACCAGAUGUUCAAUGAAAUGCCAAAGGGAGACAUGCAUGGGAUGUGUACUGGAUGUUCAACGAAAUGGGACUUGAGGCUUUUGAAUUGUGAUGCGUACUAGAUGCUCAAUGAAAUGCCAAAGGGAGACAUGCAUGGGAUGUGUACUGGAUGUUCAACGAAAUGGGAUUUGAGGCUUUUGAAUUGUGCUGCGUACCCGAUGUUCAAUGAAAUGCCAAAGGGAGACAUUCAUGCCAAAUGUUUGAUAUGAUAACUCAUAGAAACUUUUGCAGUGAUAUGUGUGCUCAACAUGGCAAAGUAGGCAUUUUCAAUAACGAUGGGAAAAACUGAUGCAGGCUAAUGCAGGGGGUUCUGGCAUAGUUGAUGUAAGCUGAAGCAGGGGGUUCUAGCAUAGGAUGAAAAUUGGAUGGGAAGGCAUUGUCAUGGAGAGCUGGAGAAUCUACACCAGGCUAUGUCAUGGUCUUAAAUAUGCUUUGCUGCUGGGUCGAAGAUCCAAAUUCUGAGGCAUGCAAGUUGCACCUGCCAAGGAUUUUUGACUAUUUGUGGCUUGCAGAAGAUGACAUGAAAAUGCAGGGUUAUAAUGGCAGUCAAUUAUGGGACACUGCUUUCACUGUUCAGGCAAUAAUCUCAACUAGCUUUCUUGAGGAAUUUGGUCCAACUCUUAAGAAAGUGCAUGAGUACAUAAAGAAUUCGCAGGUUUUGGAAGACUGCACUGGUGAUCUUAGUUUCUGGUAUUGUCACGUUUCUAAAGGUGCAUGGCCUUUCUCAACUAGAGAUCAUGGAUGGUCCAUAUCAGAUUGCACUGCAGAAGGUUUAAAGGCUUCACUCUUGUUGUCGCAGAUUCCAUCAAAAACUGUUGGUGAACCAAUCGAUGCAAACAGAUUGUACGACGCGGUGAAUGUCAUUCUUUGACUACAUGAAUUCGGAUGCCAAGAAGACAUGAUGUUCUGUGGUGUGUUUGAUGGCCAUGGCCCUUGGGGACACUAUGUAGCAAAAAGGGUCAGAGAAUCACUGCCAUCAUCUCUGCUUUGCAAUUGGCAGGAGACUCUUGCUAUGAGCUCAAUUACAUCAGAAUUCCUUUUGGAAUCUAAUAAAAUGCUUAAUUGAUUUGACAUUUGGAAGGAAUCCUAUUUGAGAACUUAUUGAAAUGAGUGAUUCACUUGGGCAAAUGAAUCAUAACCUUGAAGGUUUGAAGAGUGAUCUGAAUGAAGUUACUAAGGGUAGGGAUUGCCUUGAUUCUGAGGUACUUGUCUUGAAAGAGCAGCUAGAAAUAACACAAGCUGUUGCUGAAGAAAAUGAAGCAAUUGCUACAGAAGCUCGACAGAUGGCUGAGGCAAGGAAGAACUAUGCCGAAGAGGAGGAGGAGGUGAAGCUGUUAGAGAAGUCUGUGGAAGAGCUAGAAUAUACCGUAAAUGUAUUGGAAAACAGGGGGGAGCUUGUCAAAGGGGAGGCUGAAAGGCAACGGUUGCAGAGAGAGGAGCUAAAAGGGGACCCUACUGAAACAGUUCAUGUGGAAGGCUAUGUGGUAGUUCAUGUGUAAUUGUAUUUUGUUUUGAAAACUUUAAAUAGACCAUUAAUUGUUUUGUUGA
This is an RNA transcript of Magnolia sinica, 2167 nucleotides long. It is a transcript of the gene named kinesin-like protein KIN-12D, with no coding region annotated. The transcript has 10 exons. The record is from RefSeq and is a predicted model, not a curated record. NCBI's taxonomy places the organism in Eukaryota, Viridiplantae, Streptophyta, Magnoliopsida, Magnoliales, Magnoliaceae.